UAUCUUAUAUUAUUAUUAUUUCUUUCUACAAAUAAUAAUUAAUUACAUAUACACUAGUACAAUAUUGCCAUAUGUUGCAUUUACGUGUCUACUUUACUCGCCUUUAAAUAGUGGGCUUUGUGCAACCUAAAUAGUUCAUACAAACUUGGAAAAACAAAAACAAAAAAAAAGUCUUUACAAAGAUUAUUAGAAUGGCUUUUGCUCAAUCUUUCUACAACCAAAGCUCUGUCUUCAGAAUCAAUGUCAUGGUUGUGGACGAUGAUCAUGUUUUCCUUCAAAUUUUGGCACGCAUGCUUGAAAAGAACAAAUACAUAGAUCCAUCGGUUAUGGAGAUCACAGUUAUAACUGUAGACGAUCCAAAGAAAGCAUUAUCUACUCUAGAAAUUCAACGAGACAAUAUAGAUCUCAUAAUCACAGAUUAUUACAUGCCUGGCAUGAACGGUGUACAACUCAAAAAAAAAAUCACUGAAAAAUUUGGAAAUUUACCGGUCUUAGUUAUGUCAUCAGACACAAACAAAGAAGAGGAGAGUUUAAGUGGUGGAGCGAUGGGUUUCAUUACAAAACCCAUUAAACCAUCUGACUUAACAAAGAUUUACCAGUUUGCUUUAACCAGCAAGAGGAACAGUAAGUCAACAUUAUCAACCGAGCACAACCACAAGGACACAGAUGUUAUUGUCCCUCAGCAAAUCAUGUUGCUACCUGAACAAGCUGAUGUCUCAUCUAAAUCGGAUUCAAGAUCCGUGACCGUGAACAGUACAAAUGGAAGUUGAGUUAGUACGGAUGGUUCGAGAAAAAAUCGAAAAAAGAAAACCUACCGGUGGUCCUAGUGAUGAUGGAGAACAUGUAUUCAUUUUAAGAGGGGAUUAUUGAGUAAUUGAUAAAAAAAAAAAAAAUAAUAAAUGAAUUUUGUCCAAA
Molecule: RNA transcript, 915 nt
Organism: Arabidopsis lyrata subsp. lyrata
Lineage: Eukaryota; Viridiplantae; Streptophyta; Magnoliopsida; Brassicales; Brassicaceae
Gene name: putative two-component response regulator ARR21
Exons: 4
Source: RefSeq, a predicted model, not a curated record